CGGACAGAUGGGGAGCUUGCUCCCUGAUGUUAGCGGCGGACGCGGUGAGUAACACGUGGGUAACCUGCCUGUAAGACUGGGAUAACUCCGGGAAACCGGGGCUAAUACCGGAUGCUUGUUUGAACCGCAUGGUUCAAACAUAAAAGGUGGCUUCGGCUACCACUUACAGAUGGACCCGCGGCGCAUUAGCUAGUUGGUGAGGUAAUGGCUCACCAAGGCGACGAUGCGUAGCCGACCUGAGAGGGUGAUCGGCCACACUGGGACUGAGACACGGCCCAGACUCCUACGGGAGGCAGCAGUAGGGAAUCUUCCGCAAUGGACGAAAGUCUGACGGAGCAACGCCGCGUGAGUGAUGAAGGUUUUCGGAUCGUAAAGCUCUGUUGUUAGGGAAGAACAAGUACCGUUCGAAUAGGGCGGUACCUUGACGGUACCUAACCAGAAAGCCACGGCUAACUACGUGCCAGCAGCCGCGGUAAUACGUAGGUGGCAAGCGUUGUCCGGAAUUAUUGGGCGUAAAGGGCUCGCAGGCGGUUUCUUAAGUCUGAUGUGAAAGCCCCCGGCUCAACCGGGGAGGGUCAUUGGAAACUGGGGAACUUGAGUGCAGAAGAGGAGAGUGGAAUUCCACGUGUAGCGGUGAAAUGCGUAGAGAUGUGGAGGAACACCAGUGGCGAAGGCGACUCUCUGGUCUGUAACUGACGCUGAGGAGCGA
RNAcentral lists this ribosomal RNA (709 nucleotides) under Bacillus spizizenii. RNAcentral describes it as "bacterial SSU rRNA". It matches the Rfam family "Bacterial small subunit ribosomal RNA", at positions 67 to 756 of the family's 1533-position model. The record is from RNAcentral. Lineage: Bacteria; Bacillati; Bacillota; Bacilli; Caryophanales; Bacillaceae.